UAGGGAAUCUUCCGCAAUGGACGAAAGUCUGACGGAGCAACGCCGCGUGAGUGAAGAAGGAUUUCGGUUCGUAAAACUCUGUUGUUAGGUAGGAAAAAAUGUAUAGUAACUAUAUACAAAAGAGACGGUACCUAACCAGAAAGCCACGGCUAACUACGUGCCAGCAGCCGCGGUAAUACGUAGGUGGCAAGCGUUGUCCGGAAUUAUUGGGCGUAAAGCGCGCGCAGGUGGUUUAGAAAGUCUGAUGUGAAAGCCCACGGCUCAACCGUGGAGGGUCAUUGGAAACUAAUAAACUUGAGUGCAGGAGAGAAAAGUGGAAUUCCUAGUGUAGCGGUGAAAUGCGUAGAGAUUAGGAGGAACACCGGUGGCGAAAGCGGCUUUUUGGCCUGCAACUGACACUGAGGCGCGAAAGCGUGGGGAGCAAACAGG
RNAcentral lists this ribosomal RNA (429 nucleotides) under Verrucomicrobiota bacterium. RNAcentral's name for it is "Verrucomicrobia bacterium partial 16S ribosomal RNA". It matches the Rfam family "Bacterial small subunit ribosomal RNA", at positions 355 to 776 of the family's 1533-position model. Lineage: Bacteria; Pseudomonadati; Verrucomicrobiota. The record is from RNAcentral.